ACCCCGGCCGGGGCUCCCUGUGGCUUCCGUGCCGGUGAGGGGACUCAAACCGGCCUAGGGAAGGUAGCGGGAUCAGUGAGACACUGCCGGCACAGCCACAUCAACCUUCCCCUGGCAAGAUGAGUGGUUUGCUCCAAAGCUCUUCCAUAUGUAGUCUAAGACAGAUACAUCCAGAAUAUCAUGACUUUUCUGCCAGUCUUUUUCUGUGCGAAAAGGCAGGAUAUGCUGUUUAACUACAAGGAAAGGAGUAAAGUGCAGAGCCCUCAAAAGAGCAUACACCUGUGGAUGUCGAGCUGUCCACUCUUUUUCAGGUGGGAGUCAAUUGCAUUGUAGUUGGCAGGAUUCCUGAGCCAGACACAAAACAACUGGAGAGACCCUUUUUGGAACGGAGGCACCUUCCAGAUAUUCCUAUCUUUCCUGAUGCACUUAACACAAAAAUGUUCUCCCAGAAUAUGCCUUUUCCCCUAUCACAUUACUCUUAGCUUACACAGAGGUUUUGUUUAGAUUGCUAAAACAAGCAUUUUUGCAGUCUCUGCCUGUUCUUUCAGAAUCAGAACUUCCACACAUCAAUAUAGGGGGGCUGACUCUACUGCAGGGGCUCUUUAACUCCCAGCUACUUCAGCAAGAAUGCCCAGAGCAACCUAAUGCAGACACACAUUGAAAAGUGCUGAGAAUCUUCUGAGUGAAGUGGAAGUGGACUGGUAAUAACAGAUAGUCCCAUUUGUCCUGUGAGUGAGGAGGGUGAAAAAGUUGCUGGAAUACCGAGUACAGUGACUGUUUCACGUGUCCACUAAUGAAUACUUCCAUCUGCCACCCUGAAAGAGCAGAGAAGCCUUUCCUUUGCAAUAAAAACCUUGUAAAGUGUU
Non-coding RNA from Cyanistes caeruleus (blue tit), 866 nucleotides. The record is from RefSeq and is a predicted model, not a curated record. NCBI's taxonomy places the organism in Eukaryota, Metazoa, Chordata, Aves, Passeriformes, Paridae.